Molecule: ribosomal RNA, 308 nt
Filed under: uncultured Pseudomonadota bacterium
Lineage: Bacteria; Pseudomonadati; Pseudomonadota
Description: bacterial SSU rRNA
Rfam family: Bacterial small subunit ribosomal RNA
Source: RNAcentral
UCGGUGCUAAUACCGCAUACGCCCUACGGGGGAAAGCGGGGGAUCUUCGGACCUCGCGUUAUUGGAUUGGCCUAUGUCUGAUUAGCUAGUUGGUGAGGUAAAGGCUCACCAAGGCUUCCAUCAGUAUCUGGUCUGAGAGGAUGAUCAGCCACACUGGAACUGAGACACGGUCCAAACUCCUACGGGAGGCAGCAGUGGGGAAUUUUGGACAAUGGGCGAAAGCCUGAUCCAGCCAUUCCGCGUGAGUGAAGAAGGCCUUCAGGUUGUAAAGCUCUUUCGGCAGGAACGAAAUGGUCACGGUUAAUAAC